UAAAACGACAGUUGGAAAUUAAGGGCUUGGGCUUGGGAAUGUUGUGCACUUGCACGUGCACCUCACUUGCACGUGCACCGCACUUUCGGAGAUAUUGGCUACUUCUGGUUACUUCCGGAAAAUUCUCGUGACAAUUUGCCAAAAGGUGGUGCAGCUAUUAUUCUGUGUUUUUUUCGCUAUCAACAGUACAGGCUGACCCUACGAGCAACGACAGUUUUAGCUAUUCAAAUGUUUUAGCACCUCGUCUUGCAACUAAUAGUUGAUAUUCUUGGUUUUUAUGUUUUAAAUUGAAAUUCAACUAUUUGAGAUCAGAGGAAAAACUAGAUGACGUUGAUGUGCGUCUAUGAUAAUUUUACGAGUGACAAGUUAAAUUGGUGACGUUUCUAUCCUGUUAAGUGUUUUAAAGGAUUUUUCAUCAAAUAACAACGUGUGUGGUAGGGUUUCACAUUGUCAGCUGCUGCUUCCCUACAUUAAAAAGUAAAGUAAUUGAAAGAUCACUAAUAAAUAGGAUUGCAUUUUGUAACUAUGCCAAGGGCCAACCUGAGAGACACUUCUUUUCACGAUUGUUUGCAUGGUACACUUGAUUGUUGUUUGAAGGUGGAUUGUCACUAGACGUCCUUUGAAUGGUACACCCUCUAUCAGCAGCCUUACAGUGUGCUUCAUAAUUACAUCAACCCCUGAGAUCGUUGGAAACUGUGUUUUUGCUCUCCACCUUUAUUAUCCACAUGCAAUUUUCACACUACUUCAUUACCUUCAUGGAAAACCAGGUGUGAUAUUUUAUCAUCCUGGAAAAAGAGUUCUGGAAAUUGAUGAUUUCUAAUAUACAGCUGAUUUUCAGAAUGAGCUUCCAAUUUGAAGUUGUGAGAGAUUUAUUGGAUUAUAUGGAUUCCUACUUUGAAAACCAAAUUAUUUCCUUCUACAAAUGGAUUUUGAAGUAUCGUACAUGUGGUAUUAUGUACUCAGUGAUAUCUUCGCGAAGCCUUUAAUUGACGUUAUACUAAAAAAUUCCCAUGGGAGGAAGUUCUUUCAGGAUCUGUUAUUAUCGACCGUCUAUGUUAUGCAGUAAUUGGAUCUGCAGUUUAGUUAGAAACUUUAACUUAGAAAUGUGCUCAACAUAGAAUUUAUAUGAAAAAUUAUAUUUGAUUGGAAAAAGUUCCUGGUUGAGACAAGAGAUCAAAAAAAUGAUACUGUUUAGAAGGACGACCGGCAAUUUCAAGAUUCAUUUAUUUCCUUCCACAUUAUAGUAUUUAUAUAUAUUUUUAAAAUUGAA
This is a long non-coding RNA of Daphnia magna, 1270 nucleotides long. RefSeq lists it as uncharacterized. The record is from RefSeq and is a predicted model, not a curated record. The transcript is spliced from 11 exons. Lineage: Eukaryota; Metazoa; Arthropoda; Branchiopoda; Diplostraca; Daphniidae.